This 656-nucleotide ribosomal RNA is filed under the name uncultured bacterium. RNAcentral describes it as "bacterial SSU rRNA". It matches the Rfam family "Bacterial small subunit ribosomal RNA", at positions 88 to 738 of the family's 1533-position model. The record is from RNAcentral.
CUUGAGAGUGGCGAACGGGUGAGUAAUAUAUCGGAACGUGCCCAAUCGUGGGGGAUAACGUAGAGAAAUUUACGCUAAUACCGCAUACGAUCUAAGGAUGAAAGCGGGGGAUUCGCAAGAACCUCGCGCGAUUGGAGCGGCUGAUAUCAGAUUAGCUUGUUGGUGAGGUAAAAGCUCACCAAGGCGACGAUCUGUAGCUGGUUUGAGAGAACGACCAGCCACACUGGGACUGAGACACGGCCCAGACUCCUACGGGAGGCAGCAGUGGGGAAUUUUGGACAAUGGGCGAAAGCCUGAUCCAGCAAUGCCGCGUGUGGGAAGAAGGCCUUCGGGUUGUAAACCACUUUUGUACGGAACGAAACGGUCUGCUUUAAUACAGUGGGCUAAUGACGGUACCGUAAGAAUAAGCACCGGCUAACUACGUGCCAGCAGCCGCGGUAAUACGUAGGGUGCGAGCGUUAAUCGGAAUUACUGGGCGUAAAGCGUGCGCAGGCGGUUAUAUAAGACAGUUGUGAAAUCCCCGGGCUCAACCUGGGAAUUGCAUCUGUGACUGUAUAGCUAGAGUACGGUAGAGGGGGAUGGAAUUCCGCGUGUAGCAGUGAAAUGCGUAGAUAUGCGGAGGAACACCGAUGGCGAAGGCAAUCCCCUGGACCUGU